GACGGAGCCCUGGAUCGGCAGUCAGGGCCGUCUUUGAGUUGCUGGAUGGAUCCGGUCAAAGCACUUCCCAUCUCACUUCUUAACAGACAGUACGAUCUUGUCUGACUACAAGGACAUAAUUUAGCAGCAUUUCACUUGCGGAUUGCAAACUUCUCAGCUCCUCCUUAAGGAUUUGAUGCUAAGAAAACAAUCCCAACGGAACGCUUGACAAGAAAAAUAUCCCGAGGAGAAGAAAGAGCAGAGUGCAGUGCAAUGAUACCAUCCGUCCUUUUAUUCAAGAUUAACCAAUGAAUUCCUGAUCCAGUCUUCCAGUGUCAAGUGCUGCAAGUCUCCAGGAAGUUAUAAG
Long non-coding RNA from Triplophysa dalaica, 346 nucleotides. RefSeq lists it as uncharacterized. The record is from RefSeq and is a predicted model, not a curated record. The transcript has 3 exons. Lineage: Eukaryota; Metazoa; Chordata; Actinopteri; Cypriniformes; Nemacheilidae.